Long non-coding RNA from Rhagoletis zephyria (snowberry fruit fly), 436 nucleotides. RefSeq lists it as uncharacterized. NCBI's taxonomy places the organism in Eukaryota, Metazoa, Arthropoda, Insecta, Diptera, Tephritidae. The record is from RefSeq and is a predicted model, not a curated record.
GCCACUGAGCAGCAUUGGGGCCAUAUUGGCGCUUGCGACUAAGUGUCCAAGCACAGCAUGGCCACUGUAAAGGUGAGCUUAGAGCCUCAGUUUGUUUCGGGCUCUCGUGCUAAGCGGUACAACAUGCUAUCGAUGCGAUAACAUCGAAAACCUGUGUUCGCCACAAAAGCAAAGUUAACAACGAAUCGCAAACGAAUCACAACGGAUUGUGUUUCAAGUAUUUUCAAGUGGAUACGAUACAAAAUACGUGAUGAAAUUUUCUAUCUAGUGCUAUUGAACGAAUACUCCAAAAAAGUGCGACGGAAGUAGAAUCCCACCAAAAAAAGAUUGUUUUAAAAACGACAGCAGCAAUAUUCACAAUGAUGUGGUGAAAAGGAAAGGUGAAAACUUACUUAAAAAAAAAAAAUAAAAAUAAUGCUCCCUGCUGUCGUGCAAG